This 1257-nucleotide ribosomal RNA is filed under the name metagenome. RNAcentral's name for it is "bacterial LSU rRNA". It matches the Rfam family "Bacterial large subunit ribosomal RNA", at positions 1680 to 2925 of the family's 2925-position model. The record is from RNAcentral.
GCCCGGGCGCUUGAGAGAACUCGGGAGAAGGAACUCGGCAAAUUGACACCGUAACUUCGGAAGAAGGUGUGCCUUUAGUAGGUGAAGUCCCUCGCGGAUGGAGCCCAAUGAGGUUGCAAAGAAUCGGUGGCUGCGACUGUUUAAUAAAAACACAGCACUCUGCAAACACGAAAGUGGACGUAUAGGGUGUGACGCCUGCCCGGUGCUGGAAGAUUAAGUGAUGGGGUGCAAGCUCUUGAUCGAAGUCCCAGUAAACGGCGGCCGUAACAAUAACGGUCCUAAGGUAGCGAAAUUCCUUGUCGGGUAAGUUCCGACCUGCACGAAUGGCGUAACGAUGGCCACACUGUCUCCUCCCGAGACUCAGCGAAGUUGAAAUGUUUGUGAUGAUGCAAUCUCCCCGCGGAAAGACGGAAAGACCCCAUGAACCUUUACUGUAGCUUUGUAUUGGACUUUGAACGGAUCUGUGUAGGAUAGGUGGGAGGCUUUGAAGCCGGGUCGCUAGAUCUGGUGGAGCCAACGUUGAAAUACCACCCUGGUGCGUUUGAGGUUCUAACCUAGGCCCGUUAUCCGGGCCGGGGACAGUGCAUGGUAGGCAGUUUGACUGGGGCGGUCUCCUCCCAAAGCGUAACGGAGGAGUUCGAAGGUACGCUAGUUACGGUCGGACAUCGUGACGAUAGUGCAAUGGCAUAAGCGUGCUUAACUGCGAGACUGACAAGUCGAGCAGAUGCGAAAGCAGGACAUAGUGAUCCGGUGGUUCUGUAUGGAAGGGCCAUCGCUCAACGGAUAAAAGGUACUCUGGGGAUAACAGGCUGAUACCGCCCAAGAGUUCAUAUCGACGGCGGUGUUUGGCACCUCGAUGUCGGCUCAUCUCAUCCUGGGGCUGUAGCCGGUCCCAAGGGUAUGGCUGUUCGCCAUUUAAAGAGGUACGUGAGCUGGGUUUAAAACGUCGUGAGACAGUUUGGUCCCUAUCUUCCGUGGGCGCUGCAGAUUUGAGGAAGCCUGCUCCUAGUACGAGAGGACCGGAGUGGACGCACCUCUGGUGUACCUGUUGUCACGCCAGUGGCAUUGCAGGGUAGCUAAGUGCGGAAGAGAUAACCGCUGAAAGCAUCUAAGCGGGAAACUCGUUUCAAGAUGAGAUCUGCCGGGGCCUUGAGCCCCCUGAAGAGUCGUUCUAGACCAGGACGUUGAUAGGUCAGGUGUGGAAGCGCAGUAAUGCGUUAAGCUAACUGAUACUAAUUGCUCGUGCGGCUUGACCAA